AUGUUCUCGGCCAUGUCUCUCUCACGCGCCAACAACAUACGAGUCGCCCUCACCAACGCCCAGAAAGGCUCCCAGACGGCGGCUGCAUACUUUGGUCACAUGCGUGCCCUCUCCGACGAGCUUGCAGCGGCGGGCAAGCCGAUCGGCGAGGAUGAACUGCUCUCCUUCAUCAUCGCUGGGUUGGACAUGGAAUACCAGCCCAUUAUCUCGGCGCUCGACGCAAGGACAGAACCGGUCUCCGUCGACAUCCUCUUCUCCAUGGUAGCAAACUUCGAUCAGCGGGUCGAGAUGUUCCAUGGAACAAAUGCCGGAUCCUUCAAGUCAUCGGCGAAUACUGCAUCUCGUGGUCGUCAGGGCAACACCAAAACCUACCAAAACCAAUGGAGUGGUGGAGGUGGUGGUGGAUCCCGUGGUGGAGGCGGCCAGUACGGAGGAGGCGGAGGACAGUAG
RNAcentral lists this ribosomal RNA (450 nucleotides) under Triticum aestivum (bread wheat). RNAcentral's name for it is "partial small subunit ribosomal RNA". Lineage: Eukaryota; Viridiplantae; Streptophyta; Magnoliopsida; Poales; Poaceae. The record is from RNAcentral.